ACUCAAAUGAAUUGACGGGGACCCGCACAAGCAGUGGAGCGUGUUGUUCAAUUCGAUACGAAGCGAAAAACCUCACCAGGGUUUGACAUGCUAGAGUUCCAUUUCCAGGAAACUGGAGAAAUUCGCAAGAAGGCUAGCACAGAUGCUGCAUGGCUGUCGUCAGCUCGUGGCGUGAGCUGUUCCAUUAAGUUGGGAAACGAGCGCAACCCUCAUCGUAUGUUAAAUAAUUCAUGCGAAACAGCCCCCCUUUUUGGGGGGAGGAAGGCGAGGAUGACGUCAAGUCAGCACGGUUCUUACACCCUGGGCUACAAACACCCUACAAUGGCGAAAAACAACGAGCAGCAAGCACGCAAGUGCAAGCUAAUCUCUUAAAUUUCGCCUCAGUUCAGAUCGAGGUCUGCAACUCGACCUCGUGAAGUCGGAAUUGCUAGUAAUCGCGGAUCAGCGUGCCGCGGUGAAUACGUUCUCGGGUCUUGUACACACCGCCCGU
RNAcentral lists this ribosomal RNA (490 nucleotides) under uncultured bacterium. RNAcentral describes it as "partial 16S ribosomal RNA". It matches the Rfam family "Bacterial small subunit ribosomal RNA", at positions 899 to 1397 of the family's 1533-position model. The record is from RNAcentral.